This 366-nucleotide transfer-messenger RNA is filed under the name Compostibacillus humi. It matches the Rfam family "transfer-messenger RNA". Rfam says of the family: Bacterial tmRNA, also known as 10Sa RNA or SsrA, is named for its dual tRNA and mRNA-like properties. Its role is to liberate the mRNA from a stalled ribosome. To accomplish this part of the tmRNA is used as a reading frame that ends in a translation stop signal. Lineage: Bacteria; Bacillati; Bacillota; Bacilli; Caryophanales; Bacillaceae. The record is from Rfam by way of RNAcentral. RNAcentral also lists the same sequence under 1 other name.
GGGGACGUUUUGGAUUCGACAGGGAUAGAUCGAGCUUGAGCUGCGCGUCGAGGUUACGUCUCGUAAAACGUUAACGCCUAAAUAUAACUGGCAAAGCUAACAAUCAACCUGCUUUAGCUGCUGCGUAAGCGCACCUAAAGCGAUCCUUCCUGACAUCGCCCGUGUGUCAGCCUGAAGGGUCUCACAUGGAGCGGGCUUUGACAAUCUUCCGCCGUCUGAGGAAGGUUGUUGAAACAAAUCAGACUAGCUAUCUGGAAGCCUGUUGGUAGGCUGAAGGAAUAGCGAAGGAUAAUAUACCAACUACACGCGUAGACGCUUAAGUGGCGAUAUCUCUGGACGUGGGUUCGACUCCCACCGUCUCCACCA